ACUGGGCGUGGUGGUGCAUGCCUAUAAUCCCAGCCGCUUGGGAGGCUGAGGCAGGAGAAUUGAGAGUUCAAAGCCAGCCUCAGCAACUCAGUGAAACCCUGUCUCUA
Molecule: small RNA, 107 nt
Filed under: Marmota monax (woodchuck)
Lineage: Eukaryota; Metazoa; Chordata; Mammalia; Rodentia; Sciuridae
Source: RNAcentral